Molecule: long non-coding RNA, 787 nt
Filed under: Pan troglodytes (chimpanzee)
Lineage: Eukaryota; Metazoa; Chordata; Mammalia; Primates; Hominidae
Description: long non-coding RNA NONPTRT010927
Source: RNAcentral
UUUUUUUUUUUUUUUUGAGACGGAGUCUCGCUCUGUCGCCCAGGCUGGAGUGCAGUGGCGCGAUCUCGGCUCACUGCAAGCUCCGCCUCCCGGGUUCACGCCAUUCUCCUGCCUCAGCCUCCCGAGUAGCUGGGACUACAGGCGCCCGCUACCACGCCCGGCUAAUUUUUUGUAUUUUUUAGAGUAUUCUGGCCCCCUAGUCAAUGUACUGAGAAAAAUUAGUUCUUAUUUCUAACUGAUGACAUCUUCUCCCUAAAUUAUUAUUUUAAAACUAUUCAACUUAGGAAAGUCUGACCUUUAGAGAUAGAUUCAAAGCAUAAAUAACUAUCUGAGAGGAACUUCUCUUCUCCAUCUCUGGUUUCCAUGAAGAGGAAUUUUCCCUAAGCUCUUUAAGCUUCUGGACCAAAACUUCUGUCUCUUGCAGUGGGUGUCUGCUUGGAGGUCUGAGCUACUCCUGACUUCUAAUGAAGGAGGGUUCUGGGCAGGGACAGGGACAGUGUUGCCCUAAUUGCAACUAAUUUGUCAUCUACAUCUUUGAAUUAUACUUAGAGCUUAAUUUCUUACGCUAGGGAAUUACAAUCUCAGAAGGCUAUGUAGAAAGUGAAUUGUAAUAACCUGUGAGAAAGCUCCUUCUGCAGAGCAGCCACUCCGUAGUGUCCAAUUUAUAACACUAAAUUGUCAGGGAGAAACCCCCUAUCUCAAGAGUAUUUGAGAGUAAAGUCUACAUAUUAGAAACACCGUAGAGAUAAUUGCUUCUAAGUUCUCGCUCACUUGCAGAUUCUAGAAU